GCUCAUUCUUACAUUCUGGGCAAUGUUAAUAAAUACACAACUAUGUAGCCUCUUUGCAUUUAUUUUCAUCUGAAGUUCUAAACAUCCCUUAUCAAACUUUGCCUUUUACUAUGGACUGCUGUAUAUCUUUGGAACCCACUAAAAUGUUGACUUGGACUUUAUACUUUCUUACUUUGCAUCUAAUUGUGACUCAGCAGGCUGUCAAGAAUCCUAGAUAUUUAUUAACAUAGAUUAUGUAUGAUAAUGUAAACGAUAACUUAAGUUAUCCUAAAU
Pelobates cultripes (western spadefoot toad) is the source of this 273-nucleotide non-coding RNA. The record is from the annotation of a GenBank genome assembly. NCBI's taxonomy places the organism in Eukaryota, Metazoa, Chordata, Amphibia, Anura, Pelobatidae.